AAGUCGUAACAAGGUUUCCGUAGGUGAACCUGCGGAAGGAUCAUUAUCGAGUUUUGAAAAGGGUUGUAGCUGGCCUCUAAAAAAAAGGAGGUAUGUGCACACCCGGCUCAUCCACUCUCAAACCCCUGUGCACUUAUCGUAGGCUCGGUGGAAGAGGCUGACUUCGGUCGGUUUCGAAAGCCUUGCCUAUGUUCAUAUACAUACGCUUCAGUUUAAGAAUGUCAUUACGCGUGUAACGCAAAUAAAUACAACUUUCAGCAACGGAUCUCUUGGCUCUC
This 278-nucleotide unclassified non-coding RNA is filed under the name Pseudophlebia setulosa. RNAcentral describes it as "Hyphodontia setulosa partial internal transcribed spacer region". The stretch from base 1 to 46 matches the Rfam family "Eukaryotic small subunit ribosomal RNA", at positions 1786 to 1831 of the family's 1831-position model. The record is from RNAcentral. Lineage: Eukaryota; Fungi; Basidiomycota; Agaricomycetes; Polyporales; Meruliaceae.